AAAGCGGACCAGGCAACCGCUGCCGCGCAAGUGGGAGAGGAAAGUCCGGGCUCCACAGAGCAGGAUGCCGGUUAACGACCGGACGCCGCGAGGCGAGGAACAGGGCCACAGAGACGAGUAAGCCCGGCGCGAGCCGGGUGGACGUGAAACGCGGUAACCUCCAUCCGGAGCAACACCAAAUAGGCAGACGAUGACGCGGCUCGCCGAGUCUGCGGGUAGGUGGCUUGAGCCGGCCAGCAAUGGCCGGCCUAGAGGAAUGGUUGCCCACGACAGAACCCGGCUUAUCGGCCCGCUUUUCCA
This 300-nucleotide RNase P RNA is filed under the name Thiobacillus sp. 65-29. RNAcentral describes it as "RNase P RNA component class A". It matches the Rfam family "Bacterial RNase P class A". From Rfam's summary of the family: Ribonuclease P (RNase P) is a ubiquitous endoribonuclease, found in archaea, bacteria and eukarya as well as chloroplasts and mitochondria. Its best characterised activity is the generation of mature 5'-ends of tRNAs by cleaving the 5'-leader elements of precursor-tRNAs. Lineage: Bacteria; Pseudomonadati; Pseudomonadota; Betaproteobacteria; Nitrosomonadales; Thiobacillaceae. The record is from RNAcentral.